This is a non-coding RNA of Pholiota molesta, 80 nucleotides long. The record is from the annotation of a GenBank genome assembly. Lineage: Eukaryota; Fungi; Basidiomycota; Agaricomycetes; Agaricales; Strophariaceae.
GACCUAUGGCUUAGUUGGUAACGCGCCUUGUGCCUGGUACAUUGCACGUGAUGUCGUGUGUUCGAAUCUCAUUCGGUGCA